Non-coding RNA from Mus musculus (house mouse), 144 nucleotides. The record is from Rfam. NCBI's taxonomy places the organism in Eukaryota, Metazoa, Chordata, Mammalia, Rodentia, Muridae.
AACCCCGGGCAAUCGGCAAAGGGACACCUUAUUAGUGGUGGUGUUCUUAUAUCAGCCAGGGGCAGAGAAGAUGACAGUCCUUAGCUCAUCCUAGCCUGCUGCCUGGCUUGGUGGCCAAAGCUGUCUUAAGCCUAAGACUCUUAA